This 69-nucleotide transfer RNA is filed under the name Hordeum vulgare. Its description in RNAcentral is "tRNA-OTHER". The record is from RNAcentral. Lineage: Eukaryota; Viridiplantae; Streptophyta; Magnoliopsida; Poales; Poaceae.
GCCCGUAGCCCAGUGGUAGCGCGCCCGUGCUUCGGCCGAGAGGGCGUGGGUUCGAAUCCCCUCUCUGCA